UUGGCCAUCAUGCAAAAAAAAAUUUGGAGUAUCCAACUUUGCAUCUAUGAAAGACUAAUGAACUCCAGAUGUUUCGUCCUUCUAAAAAUAUUCUGAUAAAUGGGGUUCUUCUUCUUCUUCAAAUGUGUAAUGAAUGGUUCGAGACUUAAUUUUGCAUACAGUCCACCAUUUUUUCUUUCUCUUUCCCUUGAUGGAAAGGGAGUAUAAUAUACUUGAACAAUUUGUUGGACUAGC
This 234-nucleotide long non-coding RNA is filed under the name Elaeis guineensis (African oil palm). RNAcentral describes it as "long non-coding RNA (EGUI_LNC031645)". Lineage: Eukaryota; Viridiplantae; Streptophyta; Magnoliopsida; Arecales; Arecaceae. The record is from RNAcentral.